CUUUCUACAGGCUUAACACAUGCAAGUCGAGGGGCAGCAUGGUCUUAGCUUGCUAAGGCCGAUGGCGACCGGCGCACGGGUGAGUAACACGUAUCCAACCUGCCGUCUACUCUUGGACAGCCUUCUGAAAGGAAGAUUAAUACAAGAUGGCAUCAUGAGUCCGCAUGUUCACAUGAUUAAAGGUAUUCCGGUAGACGAUGGGGAUGCGUUCCAUUAGAUAGUAGGCGGGGUAACGGCCCACCUAGUCUUCGAUGGAUAGGGGUUCUGAGAGGAAGGUCCCCCACAUUGGAACUGAGACACGGUCCAAACUCCUACGGGAGGCAGCAGUGAGGAAUAUUGGUCAAUGGGCGCAGGCCUGAACCAGCCAAGUAGCGUGAAGGAUGACUGCCCUAUGGGUUGUAAACUUCUUUUAUAAAGGAAUAAAGUCGGGUAUGGAUACCCGUUUGCAUGUACUUUAUGAAUAAGGAUCGGCUAACUCCGUGCCAGCAGCCGCGGUAAUACGGAGGAUCCGAGCGUUAUCCGGAUUUAUUGGGUUUAAAGGGAGCGUAGAUGGAUGUUUAAGUCAGUUGUGAAAGUUUGCGGCUCAACCGUAAAAUUGCGGUUGAUACUGGAUAUCUUGAGUGCAGUUGAGGCAGGCGGAAUUCGUGGUGUAGCGGUGAAAUGCUUAGAUAUCACGAAGAACUCCGAUUGCGAAGGCAGCCUGCUAAGCUGCAACUGACAUUGAGGCUCGAAAGUGUGGGUAUCAAACAGGAUUAGAUACCCUGGUAGUCCACACGGUAAACGAUGAAUACUCGCUGUUUGCGAUAUACUGCAAGCGGCCAAGCGAAAGCGUUAAGUAUUCCACCUGGGGAGUACGCCGGCAACGGUGAAACUCAAAGGAAUUGACGGGGGCCCGCACAAGCGGAGGAACAUGUGGUUUAAUUCGAUGAUACGCGAGGAACCUUACCCGGGCUUAAAUUGCAGAUGAAUUACGGUGAAAGCCGUAAGCCGCAAGGCAUCUGUGAAGGUGCUGCAUGGUUGUCGUCAGCUCGUGCCGUGAGGUGUCGGCUUAAGUGCCAUAACGAGCGCAACCCUUGUUGUCAGUUACUAACAGGUUCCGCUGAGGACUCUGACAAGACUGCCAUCGUAAGAUGUGAGGAAGGUGGGGAUGACGUCAAAUCAGCACGGCCCUUACGUCCGGGGCUACACACGUGUUACAAUGGGGGGUACAGAGGGCCGCUACCACGCGAGUGGAUGCCAAUCCCAAAAACCUCUCUCAGUUCGGACUGGAGUCUGCAACCCGACUCCACGAAGCUGGAUUCGCUAGUAAUCGCGCAUCAGCCACGGCGCGGUGAAUACGUUCCCGGGCCUUGUACACACCGCCCGUCAAGCCAUGGGAGCCGGGGGUACCUGAAGUGCGUAACCGCGAGGAGCGCCCUAGGGUAAAACUGGUGACUGGGGCUAAG
This 1445-nucleotide ribosomal RNA is filed under the name uncultured organism. RNAcentral's name for it is "SSU rRNA". It matches the Rfam family "Bacterial small subunit ribosomal RNA". The record is from RNAcentral.